This 292-nucleotide ribosomal RNA is filed under the name Medora punctulata. RNAcentral describes it as "partial 16S ribosomal RNA". Lineage: Eukaryota; Metazoa; Mollusca; Gastropoda; Stylommatophora; Clausiliidae. The record is from RNAcentral.
UCAAUGUAGUCUGGUAUGAAGAAUUACGUAUGAAACUUGUCUCAACUUUAUGAUUUAGUAUAAUUUAAUAAAAAAGUGAAAAUACUUUUAAUAUUAAAUAAAAGACGAGAAGACCCUUAGAAUUUUUUCUAUAAGUAGGUUUGUAACUUACUUCGUUUUAGUUGGGGCAACUUUAUUUCAUCUAAUAAAUAAUAAUAUUAAUUUUAUAUGCCGAUUUAAUAAGUAAAUUAAAAUUACCUAAGGGAUAACAGCAUAAUUUUAUAAAUAAGUUUGUGACCUCGAUGUUGGACAC